UACGAAGGGGGCUAGCGUUGCUCGGAAUUACUGGGCGUAAAGCGCACGUAGGCGGCUUGUUAAGUCCGGGGUGAAAUCCUGGAGCUCAACUCCAGAACUGCCUUUGAUACUGGCGAGCUUGAGUUCGGGAGAGGUGAGUGGAACUGCGAGUGUAGAGGUGAAAUUCGUAGAUAUUCGCAAGAACACCAGUGGCGAAGGCGGCUCACUGGCCCGAUACUGACGCUCAUGCACGACAGCGUGGGGAUCAAACAGG
RNAcentral lists this ribosomal RNA (253 nucleotides) under uncultured bacterium. RNAcentral describes it as "partial 16S ribosomal RNA". It matches the Rfam family "Bacterial small subunit ribosomal RNA", at positions 524 to 776 of the family's 1533-position model. The record is from RNAcentral.